Long non-coding RNA from Alosa alosa (allis shad), 291 nucleotides. RefSeq lists it as uncharacterized. The record is from RefSeq and is a predicted model, not a curated record. Lineage: Eukaryota; Metazoa; Chordata; Actinopteri; Clupeiformes; Clupeidae. The transcript is spliced from 3 exons.
GGACUCUCUCGCUUCAGAACCUCCUCGUCCUUCUUGAUGGACAGACCCCCAAAGAACACAGCCACCUAGAGAACAGACCAGAGGAGAGGAGCAUCCCUCUGAGAGGGCUAAUGAUGGAAAAGGACUGUUUCUAUAGGAGCUGCUCUUUAAUACUGCAGGCAUUGAAAAGCAUGUGCAUCAUGUGUGCUACAGAAUAACAGCUGUGGCUCACUGAAUCAUAUAAGACAAUACUUCUAUCAGUACACUGCUAGUGUGCUCUGAGCGCUUACUUCCGUGGUGCCCACUUUUCGA